This 564-nucleotide ribosomal RNA is filed under the name Streptomyces sp. 316D09. RNAcentral describes it as "bacterial SSU rRNA". It matches the Rfam family "Bacterial small subunit ribosomal RNA", at positions 93 to 671 of the family's 1533-position model. Lineage: Bacteria; Bacillati; Actinomycetota; Actinomycetes; Kitasatosporales; Streptomycetaceae. The record is from RNAcentral.
CAGUGGCGAACGGGUGAGUAACACGUGGGCAAUCUGCCCUGCACUCUGGGACAAGCCCUGGAAACGGGGUCUAAUACCGGAUAUUACCUGAGGGGGCAUCUUCUUGGGUGUAAAGCUCCGGCGGUGCAGGAUGAGCCCGCGGCCUAUCAGCUUGUUGGUGGGGUGAUGGCCUACCAAGGCGACGACGGGUAGCCGGCCUGAGAGGGCGACCGGCCACACUGGGACUGAGACACGGCCCAGACUCCUACGGGAGGCAGCAGUGGGGAAUAUUGCACAAUGGGCGGAAGCCUGAUGCAGCGACGCCGCGUGAGGGAUGACGGCCUUCGGGUUGUAAACCUCUUUCAGCAGGGAAGAAGCGUGAGUGACGGUACCUGCAGAAGAAGCACCGGCUAACUACGUGCCAGCAGCCGCGGUAAUACGUAGGGUGCGAGCGUUGUCCGGAAUUAUUGGGCGUAAAGAGCUCGUAGGCGGUUUGUCGCGUCGGAUGUGAAAGCCCGGGGCUUAACUCCGGGUCUGCAUUCGAUACGGGCAGACUAGAGUGUGGUAGGGGAGAUCGGAAUUCCU